ACUCCUACGGGAGGCAGCAGUAGGGAAUCUUCCGCAAUGGGCGAAAGCCUGACGGAGCAACGCCGCGUGAGUGAUGAAGGUCUUCGGAUCGUAAAACUCUGUUAUUAGGGAAGAACAUAUGUGUAAGUAACUGUGCACAUCUUGACGGUACCUAAUCAGAAAGCCACGGCUAACUACGUGCCAGCAGCCGCGGUAAUACGUAGGUGGCAAGCGUUAUCCGGAAUUAUUGGGCGUAAAGCGCGCGUAGGCGGUUUUUUAAGUCUGAUGUGAAAGCCCACGGCUCAACCGUGGAGGGUCAUUGGAAACUGGAAAACUUGAGUGCAGAAGAGGAAAGUGGAAUUCCAUGUGUAGCGGUGAAAUGCGCAGAGAUAUGGAGGAACACCAGUGGCGAAGGCGACUUUCUGGUCUGUAACUGACGCUGAUGUGCGAAAGCGUGGGGAUCAAACAGGAUUAGAUACCCUAGUAGUCCCAUGA
This 474-nucleotide ribosomal RNA is filed under the name uncultured organism. RNAcentral's name for it is "partial 16S ribosomal RNA". It matches the Rfam family "Bacterial small subunit ribosomal RNA", at positions 335 to 800 of the family's 1533-position model. The record is from RNAcentral.